UGGGGAAUCUUGCACAAUGGGGGCAACCCUGAUGCAGCGACGCCGCGUGAGCGAUGAAGCCCUUCGGGGCGUAAAGCUCUUUCGACCGGAACGAUAAUGACGGUACCGGGAGAAGAAGCUGCGGCUAACUACGUGCCAGCAGCCGCGGUAAUACGUAGGCAGCAAGCGUUGUUCGGAGUUACUGGGCGUAAAGAGUGCGUAGGCGGUUUUCUAAGUUCGGUGUGAAACCUCCCGGCUUAACUGGGAGGGUGCGCCGAAGACUGGGAAGCUGGAGUGUGGGAAAGGCAGGCGGAAUUCCUGGUGUAGCGGUGAAAUGCGUAGAUAUCAGGAGGAACACCGGCGGUGUAGACGGCUUGCUAGACCAUAACUGACGCUGAGGCACGAAAGCGUGGGUAGCAAACA
Molecule: ribosomal RNA, 402 nt
Filed under: uncultured bacterium
Lineage: Bacteria
Description: bacterial SSU rRNA
Rfam family: Bacterial small subunit ribosomal RNA
Source: RNAcentral